Molecule: non-coding RNA, 29 nt
Filed under: Homo sapiens (human)
Lineage: Eukaryota; Metazoa; Chordata; Mammalia; Primates; Hominidae
Source: RNAcentral
UGUGGAUAGUUGGGAUGGCCCAGUAGUGU